GGAAGGAAUCUUGCGCAAUGGGCGAAAGCCAGACGCAGCAACGCCGCGUGGGGGAUGACGGCCUUCGGGUUGUAAACCCCUUUCAGAAGGGAAGAAAUUGACGGUACCUUCAGAAGAAGCCCCGGCCAACUACGUGCCAGCAGCCGCGGUAAUACAGAGACUGCAAGCGUUGUUCGGAUUUACUGGGCGUAAAGGGUGCGCAGGCGGCCGGGUGUGUCGGGUGUGAAAUUUCGAGGCUUAACCUCGAGACUGCGCCCGAAACUAUCCGGCUAGAGUACUGGAGAGGGAAGCGGAAUUCACGGUGUAGCAGUGAAAUGCGUAGAUAUCGUGAGGAACACCAAUGGCGAAGGCAGCUUCCUGGACAGUUACUGACGCUGAGGAGCGAAAGCGUGGGGAGCAAACAGGAUUAGAAACCCUAGUAGUCC
This 425-nucleotide ribosomal RNA is filed under the name uncultured bacterium. RNAcentral's name for it is "bacterial SSU rRNA". It matches the Rfam family "Bacterial small subunit ribosomal RNA", at positions 354 to 796 of the family's 1533-position model. The record is from RNAcentral.